RNAcentral lists this ribosomal RNA (465 nucleotides) under uncultured bacterium. RNAcentral describes it as "partial 16S ribosomal RNA". It matches the Rfam family "Bacterial small subunit ribosomal RNA", at positions 28 to 507 of the family's 1533-position model. The record is from RNAcentral.
GACGAACGCUGGCGGCGUGCUUAACACAUGCAAGUCGAACGGAAAGGCCCCUUUGGGGGUACUCGAGUGGCGAACGGGUGAGUAACACGUGAGUAACCUGCCCUUGACUUCGGGAUAACUUCAGGAAACUGGGGCUAAUACCGGAUAGGAAUCCUUGCUGCAUGGUGGGGGUUGGAAAGCUUCGGCGGUUUUGGAUGGACUCGCGGCUUAUCAGCUUGUUGGUGGGGUAGUGGCUUACCAAGGCUUUGACGGGUAGCCGGCCUGAGAGGGCGACCGGCCACAUUGGGACUGAGAUACGGCCCAGACUCCUACGGGAGGCAGCAGUGGGGAAUAUUGCACAAUGGGCGGAAGCCUGAUGCAGCAACGCCGCGUGCGGGAUGACGGCCUUCGGGUUGUAAACCGCUUUCAGCAGGGGCGAAGCUUGUGGAGACGGUACCUGCAGAAGAAGCACCGGCUAACUACGUG